This 85-nucleotide transfer RNA is filed under the name Felis catus (domestic cat). It matches the Rfam family "tRNA". From Rfam's summary of the family: Transfer RNA (tRNA) molecules are approximately 80 nucleotides in length. Their secondary structure includes four short double-helical elements and three loops (D, anti-codon, and T loops). RNAcentral also lists the same sequence under 1 other name. Lineage: Eukaryota; Metazoa; Chordata; Mammalia; Carnivora; Felidae. The record is from Rfam by way of RNAcentral.
GCCUGGGUGGCUCAGCUGAUUGAGCGUCUGACUUUGGCUCAGGUCAUGAUCUCACAUUUGGUGGGUUCGAGCCCUGCCUCGGGUU